ACCUCUCUGACUUCAUCAAGGGAGAAGGGUUCCAACAGAAAAGUAUUAUCCUCUAUCGAAAGAGAAUGAAACAGAACCAUAUUGAGAUUUGGUCUAUUCUCCCAACUCUCCCUAAAAUUGUUCUCAAAGUAAUUCUUCACAAAACCCUUGACUUCCUCUACUCCUUGAACCCAUUGAUCACCAUCUCUUAAUGCCACUAAUUGAUUCAUU
RNAcentral lists this long non-coding RNA (210 nucleotides) under Trifolium pratense (red clover). RNAcentral describes it as "long non-coding RNA (TPRA_LNC003452)". Lineage: Eukaryota; Viridiplantae; Streptophyta; Magnoliopsida; Fabales; Fabaceae. The record is from RNAcentral.